GAACAGACGAGGAGCUUGCUCCUCUGACGUUAGCGGCGGACGGGUGAGUAACACGUGGAUAACCUACCUAUAAGACUGGGAUAACUUCGGGAAACCGGAGCUAAUACCGGAUAAUAUAUUGAACCGCAUGGUUCAAUAGUGAAAGACGGUUUUGCUGUCACUUAUAGAUGGAUCCGCGCCGCAUUAGCUAGUUGGUAAGGUAACGGCUUACCAAGGCAACGAUGCGUAGCCGACCUGAGAGGGUGAUCGGCCACACUGGAACUGAGACACGGUCCAGACUCCUACGGGAGGCAGCAGUAGGGAAUCUUCCGCAAUGGGCGAAAGCCUGACGGAGCAACGCCGCGUGAGUGAUGAAGGUCUUCGGAUCGUAAAACUCUGUUAUUAGGGAAGAACAAAUGUGUAAGUAACUAUGCACGUCUUGACGGUACCUAAUCAGAAAGCCACGGCUAACUACGUGCCAGCAGCCGCGGUAAUACGUAGGUGGCAAGCGUUAUCCGGAAUUAUUGGGCGUAAAGCGCGCGUAGGCGGUUUUUUAAGUCUGAUGUGAAAGCCCACGGCUCAACCGUGGAGGGUCAUUGGAAACUGGAAAACUUGAGUGCAGAAGAGGAAAGUGGAAUUCCAUGUGUAGCGGUGAAAUGCGCAGAGAUAUGGAGGAACACCAGUGGCGAAGGCGACUUUCUGGUCUGUAACUGACGCUGAUGUGCGAAAGCGUGGGGAUCAAACAGGAUUA
Molecule: ribosomal RNA, 730 nt
Filed under: Staphylococcus epidermidis
Lineage: Bacteria; Bacillati; Bacillota; Bacilli; Caryophanales; Staphylococcaceae
Description: bacterial SSU rRNA
Rfam family: Bacterial small subunit ribosomal RNA
Source: RNAcentral